RNAcentral lists this ribosomal RNA (423 nucleotides) under uncultured bacterium. RNAcentral's name for it is "bacterial SSU rRNA". It matches the Rfam family "Bacterial small subunit ribosomal RNA", at positions 207 to 622 of the family's 1533-position model. The record is from RNAcentral.
AAGACCUUGCACUUUUGGAGCGGCCGAUGUCUGAUUAGCUAGUUGGUGGGGUAAUGGCCUACCAAAGCUUCGAUCAGUAGCUGGUCUGAGAGGACGGCCAGCCACACUGGGACUGAGACACGGCCCAGACUCCUACGGGAGGCAGCAGCGGGGAAUUUUGGACAAUGGGCGCAAGCCUGAUCCAGCCAUGCCGCGUGAGUGAAGAAGGCCUUCGGGUUGUAAAGCUCUUUCAGCCGGGAAGAAAAGGCUGCGACUAAUAAUCGCAGUUCAUGACGGUACCGGAAGAAGAAGCACCGGCUAACUACGUGCCAGCAGCCGCGGUAAUACGUAGGGUGCGAGCGUUAAUCGGAAUUACUGGGCGUAAAGGGUGCGCAGGCGGUUUUGUAAGUCAGAUGUGAAAUCCUCGGGCUUAACCUGGGAACU